AGAGUUUGAUCAUGGCUCAGGACGAACGCUGGCGGCGUGCUUAACACAUGCAAGUCAAGGAGAAUGGGAAUCUUCGGAAUCCCUAGUAAACUGGCGCACGGGUGAGUAACGCGUAGGUAACCUGCCCUCGAGUGGGGAAUAACAUCGGGAAACCGGUGCUAAUACCGCAUAAUAUCUUUCUUUCGCAUGUUUGGAAGAUCAAAGACUUGUCGCUUGAGGAUGGACCUGCGUCUUAUUAGCUAGUUGGUGAGGUAAUGGCUCACCAAGGCAACGAUGGGUAACUGGUCUGAGAGGAUGAUCAGUCACACUGGCACUGAGACACGGGCCAGACUCCUACGGGAGGCAGCAGUGAGGAAUAUUGGUCAAUGGGCGAAAGCCUGAACCAGCAACGCCGCGUGAGUGAUGAAGCACUGAGGUGUGUAAAGCUCUGUUAGGAGGGAAGAAAAGCCAACUCGUUGGCCUUGACGGUACCUCCAGAGAAAGCUCCGGCUAACUCCGUGCCAGCAGCCGCGGUAAUACGGGGGGAGCAAGCGUUGUCCGGAUUUACUGGGCGUAAAGGGAGUGUAGGUGGGGUGGUAAGUCAGUGGUGAAAUGUUACAGCUUAACUGUAAACCUGCUUCUGAUACUGCCACUCUUGAGUGCGGAAGAGGAAAGCGGAAUUCCUGGUGUAGCGGUGAAAUGCGUAGAUAUCAGGAGGAACACCGGUGGCGAAGGCGGCUUCCUGGACCAAUACUGACGCUGAGGCGCGAAGGCGUGGGGAGCAAACAGGAUUAGAUACCCUAGUAGUCC
RNAcentral lists this ribosomal RNA (789 nucleotides) under uncultured bacterium. RNAcentral's name for it is "bacterial SSU rRNA". It matches the Rfam family "Bacterial small subunit ribosomal RNA", at positions 8 to 796 of the family's 1533-position model. The record is from RNAcentral.